Molecule: non-coding RNA, 86 nt
Organism: Ceratotherium simum simum (southern white rhinoceros)
Lineage: Eukaryota; Metazoa; Chordata; Mammalia; Perissodactyla; Rhinocerotidae
Source: RefSeq, a predicted model, not a curated record
AGUGAAGAAGUAAAAAGAGGAUACUUACAAUAGGCCUCCCAACCCAAUCGUAGGCGUAGUCAAAGGUGUAGCCCUUCCUUUCAAAG